UACAGAGGUCUCAGCGUUGUUCGGAUUCAUUGGGCGUAAAGGGUGCGUAGGCGGCGCGGUAAGUCGGGUGUGAAAUCUCCGGGCUUAAACCCGGAAAGGUCAACCGAUACUGCGGGCUAGAGUGCAGAAGGGGCAACUGGAAGUUCUCGGUGUAGCGGUGAAAUUCGUAGAUAUCAAGCGGAACACCGGUGGCGAAGGCGGCCUUCUGGACAGUGACUGACGCUGAGACGCGAAAGCGUGGGGAGCAAACAGG
Molecule: ribosomal RNA, 253 nt
Filed under: uncultured bacterium
Lineage: Bacteria
Description: partial 16S ribosomal RNA
Rfam family: Bacterial small subunit ribosomal RNA
Source: RNAcentral